CCUACGGGGGGCAGCAGUGGGGAAUAUUGGACAAUGGGCGAAAGCCUGAUCCAGCCAUGCCGCGUGUGUGAAGAAGGCCUUCGGGUUGUAAAGCACUUUCAGUGGGGAAGAAAGCCUUGGGGCUAAUACCCUCGAGGAAGGACAUCACCCACAGAAGAAGCACCGGCUAACUCCGUGCCAGCAGCCGCGGUAAUACGGAGGGUGCGAGCGUUAAUCGGAAUUACCGGGCGUAAAGCGCGCGUAGGCGGUCUGAUAAGCCGGUUGUGAAAGCCCCGGGCUCAACCUGGGAACGGCAUCCGGAACUGGCAGGCGAGAGUGCAGGAGAGGAAGGUAGAAUUCCCGGUGUAGCGGUGAAAUGCGUAGAGAUCGGGAGGAAUACCAGUGGCGAAGGCGGCCUUCUGGACUGACACUGACGCUGAGGUGCGAAAGCGUGGGUAGCAAACAGGAUUAGAUACCCGAGUAGUC
This 465-nucleotide ribosomal RNA is filed under the name Vreelandella stevensii. RNAcentral's name for it is "partial 16S ribosomal RNA". It matches the Rfam family "Bacterial small subunit ribosomal RNA", at positions 338 to 795 of the family's 1533-position model. The record is from RNAcentral. Lineage: Bacteria; Pseudomonadati; Pseudomonadota; Gammaproteobacteria; Oceanospirillales; Halomonadaceae.